UACGGGGGGGGCAAGCGUUGUUCGGAAUUACUGGGCGUAAAGGGCUCGUAGGCGGCCAACUAAGUCGGAUGUGAAGUCCCCAGGCUCAACCUGGGAACUGCAUCCGAUACUGGAUGGCUUGAAUUCGGGAGAGGGAUGCAGAAUUCCAGGUGUAGCGGUGAAAUGCGUAGAUAUCUGGAGGAAUACCGGUGGCGAAGGCGGCAUCCUGGACCGACAUUGACGCUGAGGAGCGAAAGCUAGGGGAGCAAACGGG
RNAcentral lists this ribosomal RNA (253 nucleotides) under uncultured bacterium. Its description in RNAcentral is "partial 16S ribosomal RNA". It matches the Rfam family "Bacterial small subunit ribosomal RNA", at positions 524 to 776 of the family's 1533-position model. The record is from RNAcentral.